CCUACGGGUGGCAGCAGUGGGGAAUGUUGGACAAUGGGCGCAAGCCUGAUCCAGCUAUUCCGCGUGUGGGAUGACGGCCCUCGGGUUGUAAACCACUUUAGUAGAGAACGAAAAGGAGCUAGCGAAUAAAUAGCUCUGCUGACGGUACGAAAAGAAGAAGCACCGGCUAACUACGUGCCAGCAGCCGCGGUAAGACGUAGGGGGCGAGCGUUCAUCGGAAUGACUGGGCGGAAAGGGUGUGCAGGCGGCUGAGUAAGACAGAUGUGAAAUCCCCGGGCGUAACCUGGGAACCGCAUAUGUGACUGCUUGGCUAGAGUGCGUCAGAGGGAGGUGGCAUUCCACGUGUAGCCGU
This 352-nucleotide ribosomal RNA is filed under the name uncultured bacterium. RNAcentral's name for it is "partial 16S ribosomal RNA". It matches the Rfam family "Bacterial small subunit ribosomal RNA", at positions 338 to 682 of the family's 1533-position model. The record is from RNAcentral.